This 2717-nucleotide ribosomal RNA is filed under the name marine sediment metagenome. Its description in RNAcentral is "bacterial LSU rRNA". The stretch from base 2 to 2102 matches the Rfam family "Bacterial large subunit ribosomal RNA", at positions 15 to 2044 of the family's 2925-position model. The record is from RNAcentral.
AGGGCGUACGGUGGAUGCCUUGGCGCAGGACGGCGAUGAAGGACGCGGUAAGCUGCGAAAAGCUCCGGUGAGUCGCAAACAGGCUUUGACCCGGAGAUUUCCGAAUGGGGCAACCCCUCGAGUAACCCUCGAGAACGUCAUCUGAAUACAUAGGGUGGCGUGGCCUACCCGGGGAAGUGAACCAUCUCAGUACCCGGAGGAACAGAAAGCAAAUGCGAUUCCCCCAGUAGCGGCGAGCGAACAGGGAACAGCCUAAACCUUUGAUGUGUAAGCCUGCAGGCGUUGUAUCAAGGGUGUUGUAGGGCCGGACAUGGUGUGGCUGCAGUCGCACCGGGGAGUAAGAAACCAAUCUCCUAACCGAACGAUCUGGAAAGGUCGGCGAUACAGGGUGAUAGCCCCGUAGGUGAAAGGAGAGAGGCUCCCUCGUCUGGUACCUGAGUACCGCGGGACACGUGGAACCCUGCGGGAACCUGGGAGGACCAUCUCCCAAGGCUAAAUACGUUCCUGCGACCGAUAGUGAACCAGUACCGUGAGGGAAAGGUGAAAAGAACCCCUGUGAGGGGAGUGAAAUAGUACCUGAAACCGUAUGCCUACAAGCAGUGGGAGGGCGUUUGCCGGGGCUUCGGCUCCGGUAUUGCCUGACCACGUGCCUUUUGCAUAAUGAGCCGGCUAGUUAUUCUCGGUGGCAAGGUUAAGCGUUAAGCCAGCCGCAGCGAAAGCGAGUCUGAUAAGGGCGAUUCAGUCGCCGGGAAUAGACGCGAAGCGAGGUGAUCUACCCAUGGCCAGGGUGAAAGUCGGGUAACACCGACCGGAGGCCCGAACCAGUGUUGGUUGAAAACAACUUGGAUGAGCUGUGGGUAGGGGUGAAAGGCUAAUCAAACCUCGUGAUUGCUCGUUCUCCUCGAAAUAGCUUUAGGGCUAGCCUCGCGGGUUAGCUUCCGGAGGUAAAGUACUGGAUGGACUAGGGCCUCUACCAAGGUACUGAAUCCAACCAAACUCUGAAUGCCGGAAAGCCGGACCGCGGGAGUCAGACAGUGGGGGCUAAGCUUCAUUGUCGAGAGGGAAACAGCCCAGACCGCCAGCUAAGGUCCCUAAUUCAGACUUAGUGGUAAAGGAUGUGGAUCCGCUAAAACAGCCAGGAGGUUGGCUUAGAAGCAGCCAUCCUUCAAAGAAAGCGUAAUAGCUCACUGGUCGAGUGGAUCCGCGCCGACAAUUCAACGGGGCUCAAGUCUGAUACCGAAGCUGCGGACUCAUGAGAGAUUCGUCUCUCAUGAUUGGUAGAGGAGCGUUCCAUGUUCGCUGAAGCCCGACCGACAAGGACGGGUGGAGGGCAUGGAAGAGACCCUGCCGGCACAAGUAGCGAUAAAACACGCGAGAACCGUGUUCGCCGAAAGCCUAAGGUUUCCUGAGGAAGGUCAAUCCGCUCAGGGUUAGUCGGUCCUAAGGCCAGGCCGAAAGGCGUAGCCGAUGGAAAACGGGUCAACAUUCCCGUACUGCCGCAAGGCGAUAAAGACCGAUGGGGUGACGCAGAAGGGCAAGCCAGCCCGCGACUGGUUGUGCGGGUUCAAGGGUGUAGGAAGGCUUCGCAGGCAAAUCCACGAAGCCGUGUUUCCGAGACCUGAUAACGAGAGCUUCGGCUCAUAAAGUGGCCCAUCCCACGCUGCCAAGAAAAGCCUCUAAGGAGUCUUGUGGUGACCGUACCGCAAACCGACACAGGUAGGCGAGGAGAGAAUCCUAAGGCGCUAGUGAGAACCCUCGUUUAGGAACUCGGCAAAAUAGCCCCGUAACUUCGGGAGAAGGGGUGCCCUCUCUGGUGAAGGACUUCGCGUCCGGAGCUGGGGGGGGUUGCAGUGAAUUGGCCCAGGCGACUGUUUACUAAAAACAUAGGGCUCUGCAAAGUCAACAAAACGACGUAUAGGGCCUGACGCCUGCCCGGUGCCGGAAGGUUAAAGAGAGGGGUUAGUCCUUCGGGACGAAGCUCUGAACUGAAGCCCCGGUAAACGGCGGCCGUAACUAUAACGGUCCUAAGGUUAGGAAAACGCUAGCCUUAGUAAAAUCGAACCAUAUGCGGGAACAUCCUCGAAAACGUCUCGGUACUCGUCGUCGGCACCGCCGGCGGCAGUAAGAAUCCGAACGACAUGGGGACAAUCCGCAGGGAAGGCUCAAGAUGACACAGAACAUCUUCGAGAACCCUCAGAGACUUGACGUUCGAGGUUGGUCAUGAACCUCGAUGCCAGCUGGGUCGUUGGCUUCGUCGACGGUGAAGGCUGUUUCCAUGUCGGUAUCAAUCCGCACUCCGAUAUGAAGACGGGCUACCAGGUGCUUCCUGAGUUCACCGUCGUCCAGCACAAGCGUGACACGCAAGUGCUUCACGGCCUGAAGGCCUACUUCGGGUGCGGUGUGGUUCGAACGAACCACGGCGACCGGAUGGCCUACCGCGUGAGAAGCCUCGAGCAUCUACUUCAACGAAUCGUUCCUUUCUUCAUGAACCACAGCUUGAAAACAAAGAAGCACGUCGACUUUUUGAAGUUUCGUGACGUGCUCCUCCUGAUGGAGAAGGGCGAGCAUCUCAACCUGGAAGGUAUCGAGAAGAUCAGACACAUCGCAGCGGUGAUGAACCGCGGCCAACCAAGGUAAAGUCCGACCUGCAUGGCGACAUGCAGAGGCUGGCAGAAAUGACCAGCCCCCCACGCCUCAGGGCGUGGAGCAACAAAAGU